GCCUGGCUGGCUCAGUCAAUAGAGCAUGCGACUCUUGAUCUCGGGGUCGUGAGUUCAAGCCUCACAUUGGGUG
Molecule: non-coding RNA, 73 nt
Organism: Canis lupus familiaris (dog)
Lineage: Eukaryota; Metazoa; Chordata; Mammalia; Carnivora; Canidae
Source: Rfam